RNAcentral lists this ribosomal RNA (1370 nucleotides) under uncultured bacterium. RNAcentral's name for it is "bacterial SSU rRNA". It matches the Rfam family "Bacterial small subunit ribosomal RNA", at positions 28 to 1381 of the family's 1533-position model. The record is from RNAcentral.
GACGAACGCUGGCGGCGUGCCUAAUACAUGCAAGUAGAACGCUGAAGAAGAGGAGCUUGCUCUUCUUGGAUGAGUUGCGAACGGGUGAGUAACGCGUAGGUAACCUGCCUUGUAGCGGGGGAUAACUAUUGGAAACGAUAGCUAAUACCGCAUAACAAUGGAUGACACAUGUCAUUUAUUUGAAAGGGGCAAUUGCUCCACUACAAGAUGGACCUGCGUUGUAUUAGCUAGUAGGUGAGGUAACGGCUCACCUAGGCGACGAUACAUAGCCGACCUGAGAGGGUGAUCGGCCACACUGGGACUGAGACACGGCCCAGACUCCUACGGGAGGCAGCAGUAGGGAAUCUUCGGCAAUGGGGGCAACCCUGACCGAGCAACGCCGCGUGAGUGAAGAAGGUUUUCGGAUCGUAAAGCUCUGUUGUAAGUCAAGAACGAGUGUGAGAGUGGAAAGUUCACACUGUGACGGUAGCUUACCAGAAAGGGACGGCUAACUACGUGCCAGCAGCCGCGGUAAUACUUAGGUCCCGAGCGUUGUCCGGAUUUUUUGGGCGUAAAGCGAGCGCAGGCGGUUUGAUAAGUCUGAAGUUAAAGGCUGUGGCUCAACCAUAGUUCGCUUUGGAAACUGUCAAACUUGAGUGCAGAAGGGGAGAGUGGAAUUCCAUGUGUAGCGGUGAAAUGCGUAGAUAUAUGGAGGAACACCGGUGGCGAAAGCGGCUCUCUGGUCUGUAACUGACGCUGAGGCUCGAAAGCGUGGGGAGCGAACAGGAUUAGAUACCCUGGUAGUCCACGCCGUAAACGAUGAGUGCUAGGUGUUGGAUCCUUUCCGGGAUUCAGUGCCGCAGCUAACGCAUUAAGCACUCCGCCUGGGGAGUACGACCGCAAGGUUGAAACUCAAAGGAAUUGACGGGGGCCCGCACAAGCGGUGGAGCAUGUGGUUUAAUUCGAAGCAACGCGAAGAACCUUACCAGGUCUUGACAUCCCGAUGCUAUUUCUAGAGAUAGAAAGUUACUUCGGUACAUCGGUGACAGGUGGUGCAUGGUUGUCGUCAGCUCGUGUCGUGAGAUGUUGGGUUAAGUCCCGCAACGAGCGCAACCCCUAUUGUUAGUUGCCAUCAUUCAGUUGGGCACUCUAGCGAGACUGCCGGUAAUAAACCGGAGGAAGGUGGGGAUGACGUCAAAUCAUCAUGCCCCUUAUGACCUGGGCUACACACGUGCUACAAUGGUUGGUACAACGAGUUGCGAGUCGGUGACGGCAAGCUAAUCUCUUAAAGCCAAUCUCAGUUCGGAUUGUAGGCUGCAACUCGCCUACAUGAAGUCGGAAUCGCUAGUAAUCGCGGAUCAGCACGCCGCGGUGAAUACGUUCCCGGGCCU